This 253-nucleotide ribosomal RNA is filed under the name uncultured bacterium. RNAcentral's name for it is "partial 16S ribosomal RNA". It matches the Rfam family "Bacterial small subunit ribosomal RNA", at positions 524 to 776 of the family's 1533-position model. The record is from RNAcentral.
UACGUAGGGGGCAAGCGUUGUCCGGAAUCAUUGGGCGUAAAGAGCGUGUAGGCGGUCCGGUAAGUCGGCUGUGAAAGUCCAGGGCUCAACCCUGAGAUGCCAUUCGAUACGGGUCGGCUAGAGGUAGGUAGGGGAGAGUGGAAUUCCUGGUGUAGCGGUGAAAUGCGCAGAUAUCAGGAGGAACACCGGUGGCGAAGGCGGCUCUCUGGGCCUUACCUGACGCUGAGGCGCGAAAGCUGGGGGAGCGAACAGG